RNAcentral lists this ribosomal RNA (253 nucleotides) under uncultured bacterium. Its description in RNAcentral is "partial 16S ribosomal RNA". It matches the Rfam family "Bacterial small subunit ribosomal RNA", at positions 524 to 776 of the family's 1533-position model. The record is from RNAcentral.
UACAGAGGUCCCAAGCGUUGUUCGGAUUCACUGGGCGUAAAGGGUGCGUAGGCGGUCGGAUAAGUCUGAUGUGAAAUCUUCGAGCUCAACUCGGAAACUGCAUCGGAAACUAUUCGGCUGGAGGAUUGGAGGGGAGACUGGAAUUCUCGGUGUAGCAGUGAAAUGCGUAGAUAUCGAGAGGAACACCAGUGGCGAAGGCGAGUCUCUGGACAGUUCCUGACACUGAGACACGAAGGCCAGGGGAGCAAACGGG